GUCUAUGGCCAUGCCACCCUGAACAAGCCCAAUCCUGUCUGAUCUCUGGAGCUAAGCAGGGUUGGGCCUGGUUAGUACUUGAAAGGGAAACCAACAAGGAAGACCAGGUGCUAUAGGCA
This 119-nucleotide ribosomal RNA is filed under the name Pteropus alecto (black flying fox). The record is from RNAcentral. Lineage: Eukaryota; Metazoa; Chordata; Mammalia; Chiroptera; Pteropodidae.